UGGCCUGUUCUUGACCUAGUUAACGCAUGUAUAUUUGACCUACUUAACUCGUGUAGGCCCUCUACUCGACCAGGAACCGUUUAGAUUACUGGAUGACAUUUAACGCAAGUUGACAUUUAUCACUGACACACUGGCACUGCCUCCGUCACUGAAUUAAACACACGCCAUUAGCCAGCAACCAUUUUACUCACACUAGGCUAGUUGGAAAAAAAACAUGGCUCGCUCCAUCGAUCGGCCAUGUUCUGCACGCACGCGCUACGGCCGCGCUCAAUAAGUGGUCGAUGGCUCUAACUGCUUGAGCGCGACGCGGCAGCCAGUAGGUAGUGAAUCUGUUCAAAACAAAGCCUACUUGACAGAGAUAAGCUAUUAGCUUGACGCUGUCCGGAUCAAUUCUUUCUUCGUCAAUUUUCUGAGCAAAUAGCAAGUGCUGGCAAUUAGCCGUGACUAUAUAAGAUGAUGGAGAAAGAGGAACCCAACUCGACAUACAGAGGGAACGCUACACAGAGCGGAUCUAAGGGGCCGAGCUUCACGGCAGAUAAAAGCAAGAAUAAAAUGGCGGCCAAGACAAACAAGAAAUGGGUUCGGCUGGCCACUGUGUUGGCCUAUGUCCUAGCGGUCUCACUAGCGGCCAUAGUGUUGGCCACGUACUACAGUCUGAUCUGGGAACCACGACUGAAGAAAGUGAGUCCCACAGCUGAUGGUUUAAACUCCAGUACGAUAUCAUCAUUGAAUGUGAGCACAUCAAGCAAGUAGCACACCAGGAGACAUUUGUCAGUGAGGUGCAACUCCACCACUAUCAACACAAGCUUUAUUCUUGGAUGGAAACUUUUACAUGUUUUGAUUGGUGGAUAUUUUCUUGACUCUUCCUCUGGUGUUCAAGUCACAUCCUGUUCACUGUGAAAUGACCAAUCAUUUGUUGGGCAGAAAACAUUGUGAUAGACUAGUUACCUAGAGUACAGCUUCUCUGUACUAUUUCAUGGCAUGUGCAAUAAGGUCUACCUAACAUUGUAACCACCUUUUUUUUUUGUUUAAAUUUUGAAACUUGCAGUGAUAUGGUUGGUCAUGGGAUAUGUUUUCCAUCAAAGUUGAUCAAAACAAGAGAACUUCCCUACAUUUUCUCAGUGCCAUCAUUCACUGAGAAAUUUUUUUUUUUCAACUUAAAUUUGUCAUCAGUAAAAUUUUUAUAUGUAUUUUCUGUGACCUCCACAGUCUGUGCAAUGUCAAUUCAGCAUAUAUAUAUAUAUAUUUGUAUGUUUUAAAAAUUUUUUGUGAAUAUUUCUGAAAUCAAAUUUGGCUGGACCAAAUUUUGAAAAGCAUUAAGAUGAUUAAGUCCAUGAAAUCAAUGAAGAGGGGAUCUAAUUUCAUAGAACACAGUCAGCUAACUUAGCAAAUAAAAGAAUAGAAUGCAAAUAAUUUUUACCUGUUAAAAUGUCUAAAACAGGCUUGAAUGAAAAUAAGGAUAUUUUUUUAGUCUAGGCAUGUUAAUUCUGUGUCCUUACAUUAUAAAUCUUGGGACUAGCUGUGUCUAGAGAAAAGGUUUGACGUGGGGUGGCACCACAGUACACUUCUGCCUGUACUAUGAUGAAAGCAACACACAAAAAAAAACUCAAGAGAAAAUUUGAACAGAAGGAAGGCUGACACUUGAGUUCUAUAUUGGUCACAAUUUUGUUAUUUAAAAACAAAAAUUUAAUUUAUUUAUGUUGGUAAAUAUUGAUGGAUAUAAUAUAAUAAGUAUGAUUAAAAAUUUUAUUUAAUUCUUUGGGGUACUUUUUUAAAUGAGGGAAAGGAAACAGACACUACUGGUGGAGUGGACAUUUAGUCAACAGUCUCACAGAUUUGUGUAGACCAUUGGUCAACAGUCUCACAGAUUUGUGUAGACCAUUGGUCAACAGUCUCACAGAUUUGUGUAGACCAUUGGUCAACAGUCUCACAGAUUUGUGUAGACCAUUGGUCAACAGUCUCACAGAUUUGUGUAGACCAUUGGUCAACAGUCUCACAGAUUUGUGUAGACCAUUGGUCAACAGUCUCACAGAUUUGUGUAGACCAUUGGUCAACAGUCUCCCAGAUUUGUGUAGACCAUUGGUCAACAGUCUCACAGAUUUGUGUAGACCAUUGGUCAUCAGUCUCACAGAUUUGUGUAGACCAUUGGUCAACAGUCUCACAGAUUUGUGUAGACCAUUGGUCAACAGUCUCACAGAUUUGUGUAGACCAUUGGUCAACAGUCUCACAGAUUUGUGUAGACCAUUGGUCAACAGUCUCACAGAUUUGUGUAGACCAUUGGUCAACAGUCUCACAGAUUUGUGUAGACCAUUGGUCAACAGUCUCACAGAUUUGUGUAGACCAUUGGUCAACAGUCUCACAGAUUUGUGUAGACCAUUGGUCAUUAGUUUGUCUCACAGAUUAGACCAGUGGUCAUCAGUUGGUCUCACACUCAUGUCCAAGAAGUGAAUGCCAUGAGCCACCAGGCUGCUGGAUAGCCCUUGUCCUGGCUAUCUGUUGAAUGUACUUAGUAACCCCUUGGUUUAGCACUAUGCAUUUGACAUUAUUUUACUGUGUAAACCAGGAGGCAUUUUAAUCAUUGCUGAAAAAAUCAAAAAAGGGUAUCUAUUAUUGUGCCAGUAUUUGUAUAACCUUUAAAAUAAUUAAACAAUUAAUAGCUCA
Physella acuta is the source of this 2661-nucleotide long non-coding RNA. RefSeq lists it as uncharacterized. NCBI's taxonomy places the organism in Eukaryota, Metazoa, Mollusca, Gastropoda, Physidae. The record is from RefSeq and is a predicted model, not a curated record.